UCUGCCUUAGGGUCGGGGACAACCACCGGAAACAGUGGCUAAUACCGGAUGUGCCGAGAGGUGAAAGAUUUAUUGCCAUAAGAGGAGCUCGCGUCUGAUUAGCUAGUUGGUAGGGUAAAAGCCUACCAAGGCAACGAUCAGUAGCUGGUCUGAGAGGAUGAGCAGCCACACUGGGACUGAGACACGGCCCAGACUCCUACGGGAGGCAGCAGUGGGGAAUUUUCCGCAAUGGGCGAAAGCCUGACGGAGCAAUACCGCGUGAGGGAGGAAGGCUUUUGGGUUGUAAACCUCUUUUAUCAGGGAAGAAGAAAGUGACGGUUCCUGAAGAAAAAGCAUCGGCUAACUCCGUGCCAGCAGCCGCGGUAAUACGGAGGAUGCAAGCGUUAUCCGGAAUUAUUGGGCGUAAAGCGUCCGUAGGUGGUACCUCAAGUCGGCUGUUAAAGACCAGGGCUUAACUCUGGGCAGGCAGUGGAAACUGAGGAACUAGAGGGCAGUAGGGGUAAGAGGGAAUUCCCGGUGUACCGGUGAAAUGCGUAAAUUUCGGGAAGAACAUCGGUGGCGAAGGCGCUCUCUGGCUGAACCUGCACUGAGGGACCAAAGCUUGGGGAGCGAAUGGGAUUAAAUAC
Molecule: ribosomal RNA, 626 nt
Filed under: uncultured Lyngbya sp.
Lineage: Bacteria; Bacillati; Cyanobacteriota; Cyanophyceae; Oscillatoriales; Microcoleaceae
Description: bacterial SSU rRNA
Rfam family: Bacterial small subunit ribosomal RNA
Source: RNAcentral